This 2618-nucleotide long non-coding RNA is filed under the name Homo sapiens (human). RNAcentral describes it as "PREDICTED lncRNA (TCONS_00207769)". The record is from RNAcentral. Lineage: Eukaryota; Metazoa; Chordata; Mammalia; Primates; Hominidae.
GGAAAUAUGACCCUGGUCACCAAACCAACUCAGAGACAGCAAGUGCUUUGGCAAAGGAAAGGGCUGGCACAGAGAACAGAGUCGAUUUCUCAUUGUCUUCACCAAUCUUCUGAACCCGUGAAUACUUUUUGCAUGAUGAUUUGAAGCAGCCAGGAGGCCAAGACAGCGGCCAGGAGAAGCAGCAAGGAAUUGAGCCUUGUACAUUUUUCUCAAAAAAAUAAAAGAUGGGGAACCACCAUGCUCGAGAUAAGAAAUUAGUCUGUGAAGAGACCUUCAAGUUCUGUAAAUGAGCCCCCAGCUAUCAAUACAUUACAGCAGGAUGAGAAAGACCCAGGCCUUUGACAUCCCAGGCUUUGACAGGCCCAGGCUUGACAGUGUCUUGGCACAAUGUUGUGGGAAGAAUAAGCACAAUGAAGAGGUGCCUCAGGAAGAGGACACACUCAGCCACCCACCUCAUGGGACUGCUAUGAGAAUGACUGAAAUAAUUAAUUGUGAAGAGCUUUGUGCCCCUGGGAGUAAGAACACUAUGACACAACUGGAGAAACUGGUUAUUUUACCAAGGCUUAGGCUGGAAUGGUGUGCUUUCCUUUAAAGAAUCAAACUUGACUUAUGGAGCCAAUAAAAGCCUCUUGGGAAAACUGGCCUCAUACAUGUCUACACAGUCCCUGUAUAGGGUUCCUGACCUGUGAUAUAUUAUAAAACAAGAAAUUUAGUUCCAAUGUAUCCAAGCUGUCCCUUCGGAAGGUGAUCAGAAGAGAGAAAUGAGUUUGGAAAAGAAAAGGAAUAGCUGAACAAGAGCAAGUGAUUUCAGAAAUCUAAACCCUGAGAAAACAUGGGUAACAGAGAAGAACUUCUGCUGUGAUAUCUACUUCUGCAGGGAGUAGAGAAACAGAAGUAGAAGGUAAAUCUGAGAUGAGCACAGAGAUAUCAAGUGAAUUGCCCAAGGUCACCAACUAGUAAGCAGUGAAGCCAGCAUUUGGUACUUUGGUAGCUCUGACUCGGCAGGCUGUUCUACCCCUCUUUGGGAAAAGCGUCGCAAAUGAGCACACAGCUUCAGGGUGAAUUCUUACAGCAAAGAAAAGGAAAUGGGAUAGCACAGCCCUGCUAUGUCAGAAGAACCAACAUCAGACAUCAGUGGAUUCUCAUAGCAACAUCUCCCCACUGCUUCCUCUUGACACACAGGAAAAAUGUUCCAGAAUCAACUGGGAAGACUGGCAUUUCAUUUAUAAAUGUAAUUCCCAGGCUGGGUCGGUAACUCCUCCAAUCUUUCCAAUUACGUUCAUUUCAGAUAUAGGGGACAGAAAUGCUCCAGAAAAGAACUAGACCAUAUUUGGAGGAGGAGAGAAGGAGUACACCCUUCAUCUGUGUUGUGAACUAUGUGGAGGAGAGUAGUAUGUUACAGUACAGAGAGUCUUGGGGAGGCCAUGUGCAUGUGUCUUCAGGCCUCCACCUCCUUUCAACUUGAGGAGCUCUGCUUUUCCUUCUAUUUUAGAGGGGUUACCCAAAAUCUCAUCUGAAAUCUGGGUUCCAUGGCUAAAGAAGUUUAAAAACUGAUAGUGCCAUGACAAAGCCCUGGAUCAGAAGUCACAAAACAAGAAUCCAAGAAUCUCUCUCUCAGUUUGGCCACAAACAAGUCAUGAUUAAUCCUGGGCCAACUACUUCCUUGGGAAACACCACCAUCUCUCAGUCAGCAAAGACAGAACCAGAGAGAGAGACUCUGCAAGUUCAGGAAGAAAGGUUCCAACUACUUUUACUCUCCGUUGCAUCUCCUAAUGUCACCACUUCCUCAGAGCAGGGUUUAGUCACUACUACAAAACAUUGCUCAGGAACUGCAGAGCCACUAGCCUGGCAUGUGGUGACACAUUCCCAACACAAUUCUCUAACAUUCUGAUUUCCCUUGCAAAGAUAAAUUCAAGCGAACUUAGAACUCUUAAAGAUCAGAUUGAGAUUGAAUGCCAUUGGCUUUCUCCCCAUACCUAUGCUCCUACACAUCUCUUCAGCCCAGCACAGGGUUUUAAAAGCUCACUGCUUAACACAGGGCUAUCUCCUCUGCUGGUUAUGAGCUGCAAGGAUAGAGUCCAUGUCCUGUUUGUGUUGGUGUUCCUGGCCACUAGCCAAGAACCUGCAGCCCAGCCCUAGAAUAGCAGUUGAAUGAAUGUGGCAGCCCACACACUCAAAGACACCAGAAUUAUCUUACCCUUUCCCAGAGAGCUUCAGGUACCUUUCUUUUCCUAAAUGAGUCACUAAUGUGUCUGUAUAAAUAUGGUUUCCAUAUAUGUCACAGAGCCCAAACAUUUCAUCUGACUUACUGUGGUUUACUUUUUGUGACUGCAUUUUUAUUAUAUCUUAUAUAAAAAGGGGGAUAUAACAGAAGGAAAAAACAGUAAAGCAAAAACCCAUAUCUAGCUUCAGAGCAUUACAUAUCCACUGGAAGCCCUAAAGCAAUGCUCCAUGAUCGCAUGGCCUUUCCGCUGCAUAACCCUGAGGUCAUUUUUUGAUACAUAAUUCUCAAAGUAUGCAGUGCUGAAAGACCUUGAAGAGCUUUCUUAAAUGAUGUUAUGGUUAAAAUUUCUAUGAUUGCAGUCCUUGAAAUCAUAAAAGAAUAAAUACAUCCUUGG